This 462-nucleotide ribosomal RNA is filed under the name uncultured bacterium. RNAcentral's name for it is "SSU rRNA". It matches the Rfam family "Bacterial small subunit ribosomal RNA", at positions 26 to 518 of the family's 1533-position model. The record is from RNAcentral.
AGGAUGAACGCUGGCGGUCUGCUUAACACAUGCAAGUCGAACGGAGUACCUCGGUACUUAGUGGCGGACGGGUGAGUAACGCGUGAGAAUCUGCCCUUAGGUCGGGGACAACCAUUGGAAACGAUGGCUAAUACCGGAUAAGCCGAGAGGUAAAAAGAUUAAUUGCCUAGGGAAGAGCUCGCGUCUGAUUAGCUAGUUGGUGAGGUAAAGGCUCACCAAGGCAUCGAUCAGUAGCUGGUCUGAGAGGAUGAUCAGCCACACUGGGACUGAGACACGGCCCAGACUCCUACGGGAGGCAGCAGUGGGAAUUUUCCGCAAUGGGCGAAAGCCUGACGGAGCAAGACCGCGUGAGGGAGGAAGGCUCUUGGGUUGUAAACUCCUUUCGCUCGUGACGAAGUCUCGUUCGGGGGUGACGGGUAGCGGGAGAAGGAAGCGACCGGCUAACUACGUGCCAGCAGCCGC